CACUUGAGCAGCGGUCUCCAACCACAGGGCCACAGAGCUGGAGCUGGAUCUACCAUGAACGACUUCUGAAUCCAGGAAGAGAGACUGACUGGGCAACAUGUUAUUCAGGUCUCCCUCUGUUGUCCAAGGCUGGAGUGUAGUAGUGCUAUCACAGCUGACUGCAGCCUCAACCUUCCAGGCUGAAGCGAUCCUCCCAUCUCAACCUCCCACGUGGCUGAGACUAUAGGUGCUUGCCACUAUGCCCAACUAAUAUUCGGAAUUUUCCUAUACGUGGAUUCCAGAGGGGUGACAGUGAAACGUGAGUGGGACCAUCUAGUUGCAGGAAAACAAGCUUAACACGCCCACUGAUUCUACAUUAUGCUCCUACCUCCCGGCAGCCUCUCCAGGCCCAGAACUUUCUCCAGUCAGCCUCUACAGACCAAGCUCAUGACUCACAAUGGCCUAUUUAGGCCCAUACCCUACCUCACGGCAGUCUCCGCAGAUGAGGCUACUGCCUCACAACAGCCUCCACAGGCACAGCUCCAUCGUUACAAUGGCCUCUUUAGACCCAGUUCCUGCCUCCCAGGCUUCUCUCCAGGCCCUGAACUUUCUCAAGUCGACCUCACCAGACCCAGCUCCUGCCACUCAUUGGCCUCCCAAGGGCCAGCUUUUGCCUCACGGCCACCUUCCAAGACCCAGCUCCUGUUGUACAGUGGCCUCUUGAGGCCCAUCUUCUGACUCCGGGCAGCCUGUACAGGCCCAGCUCCUGCCUUACAAUGGCCUCUUUAGUCCCAGCUCCUGCCUCUUUGCAGGAGGCCCAAAUGUCCUCAAGUCCAGGCCACAAAAUCCAGGGCCAAAAUGUCCACAAGUCGGCCUCUCAAGGCCCAGCUCCUGCCUUUCGUUGGCAUCUCCAGGCCCAGCUGCUGCCCCCAGGUGGCCUCUACAGGCCGUGCUCUUUCUUCUGACUGUGUCUGGAGGUCCAACUCCUGCCUCAGAACAACCUCUUUUGGCUCAGCUCCUGCCCAGCUCCUAGUGGCCUUUGUAGGCCCAAAACUGCCUCAAGUCAAGCUUUCCAGGCCCACCUUCUGCCUCCCAAUGGCCUGGACAGGCCCAGCUCCUGCGUGACAAUGGCCUCUCCAGGCCCAGCUUUUGCCUCACAGAAGCCUUCCCCAAACAAGGUCCUACCUGCCUCCCAGCAGCCUCAACAGGCCCAGAUCCUGCUUCACACUAAUCUCAUUAGGCCCAGCUCAUACCUCACCGUGGCCUCUCCAGGCCCAGCUCCUGCCCCUCGACAGGCUGUCCGUGCCCGAAACUUCCUCAAGUCGGCCUCUCCAGGCACAGCUCCUGCCUAACAUUGGCCUCUUUAGGCACAGCUCAUGCCUUGGUGGCCUCUCCAGGCCCAGCUCCUGCAUCCCAGCACCUUCUCUAGACCGAGAACUUUCUCAAGUCUGCCAUUCCAGGCCCAACUCGUGCCUUCCGUCAGCAUCUACAGGCUCAACCUCUGCCUCACAGCACAUUUUCCCAGCCCAGCAUGUGCCUCACCGCAACCCCCUAGGCCAAGCUCCUGCCUUUCAGCAGCCUCUACAGGCCCCACUCCUACCUCAAUGGCCUCUCUAGGGCAAACUUAUGCCUCACAGUGGCCAUUCUGGCCCAGCUUUUGCCUUUUGGCAGCAUCUCCAGACCCAGAACUUCCUCAAGUGGGCCUCUCCAGGCCCAGCUCUUCCUCCUGGUGGCCGCUGCAGGCCCAGACUGUUGUCAAGUCGGCCUUCCAGGGUCAGCUCCUGCUCCCGGGCCGCCUCUGCAGGCCCAGGUCGUCCUCAAGUCGGCCUCCACAGGCCCAGCUCCAGCCUCUCGGCGGCCUCUCCGGGUGCAAAAGUUCCUCGAGUCAGCCUCUCCAGACCCAGCUCCUCCUGCCUCCCAGUGGCCUCUUUCAGCCCAGCCCAGCUCAUGCCUCCUGGCGGCCUUCCCAGGCCCCGCUUUUGACUUUUGGCGGCCUCUGCAGGCCCGAAUUUGACCUCCAGUCGGCCUCUCCAGGCCCGGCCUCCUGCCUCCCGAAGGCCUGCACAGGCCCAGCCUCUGCCUCACAGCAGACUAUCCACGCCCAGCUAGCCCUCGCCUCACUGCGGCCUCCCCAGUCCAAAGCUCCUGCCUCUCAGCCGCUUCAGCAGGCCCAGCUCCCGCCUGCCAGUGGCCUCUUCAGGCCCAUGGGGCUCAUUCCUCACAAUGGCCUUUCCAGGCCCAGUUUUUCCCUUCCGGCGGCCUCUGCGGGCCCAGAACCUCCUCAAGUUGGCCUCUCCAGACCCACUUGCAGCCUCCCGGCGUCCUCUCUGUAGGCCCAUCUUGGUGUCCUCUCCAGGCCCUUCCCCUACCUGUUGGCUGGCGGCCUCUAGAGGCACAGCCUCUACUUCAUCAGUGGGCCCUCCAGGCCCACCUCUUGCCUCGCUGUGGCCCCCUCGGGCGAGGCUCCCGCCUCGAGGCAACUUUGCAGGCUUAGCUGCUGCCUCGCAGAGGCCCUCCGGAGGCUAAGCUCAUGUGUCACGGCGGCCUCUCCCGGCCUGACGUUUGCUCCUUUGCAUGCGCUCCAGGCCCUGCACUUCCUCCAAUCGGCCUCUCCAGGCCCAGCUCUUCCUCCCAGCAGCCUGUGCAGGCCCAGGCUGUCAUCAAGUCGGCUCCUCUAGGCCCAGCUUGGGCCUCCCGGCGGCCUCUGCAGGCCCAAGUCGUCCUCAAGUUAGCCUGGAAGUGGGCCUGGAAGAGCUGCAAGUCAGCCUUCCCAGGCCCAGCUCCGUCCUCUUGGCGCCUCUCCAGGUGCAAAACUUCCUCGAGUCAGCCUCUCCAGGCCCAGCUCCUCCUGCCUCCCAGUGGCCUCUUUUGGCCCAGCCCAGCUCAUGGCUCUCGGCGGCCUUCCCUGGCCCUGCUUUUGACUUUCGGUGGCCUCUUCAGGCCCAGAACUUGACCACCAGUCGGCCUUUGCAGGCCCAGCCUCCUGCCUCCCAAAGGCCUGCACGGGCCCGGCCUCGGCCUCACAGCGGACUCUCCACACCCAGCUAGCUCUCGCCUCACUGCGGCCUCCCCAGUCCAAAGCUCCUGCCUUUCGGCUGCUUCGGCAGGCCCAGUUCCCGCCUGCCAGUGGCCUCUUUAGGCCCAGCUCAUUCCUCACAACGGCCUUUCCAGGCCCCGUUUUUCCCUUCCGGCAGCCUCU
This 3178-nucleotide long non-coding RNA is filed under the name Pongo abelii (Sumatran orangutan). RNAcentral describes it as "lincRNA". Lineage: Eukaryota; Metazoa; Chordata; Mammalia; Primates; Hominidae. The record is from RNAcentral.